GUUUGAUCCUGGCUCAGAACGAACGUUAGCGGCGCGCCUAACACAUGCAAGUCGAGCGAGAAAGGGCUUCGGCCCCGGUAAAGCGGCGCACGGGUGAGUAACACGUAGGCAAUCUGCCUCGAGGUGGUGGAUAACCCUCCGAAAGGAGGGCUAAUACAGCAUGAGACCACGUCGUCGAAAGACGAUGCGGCCAAAGCCGGCCUCUUCAUGAAAGCUGGCGCCACGAGAUGAGCCUGCGGCCCAUCAUCUAGUUGGUAGGGUAACGGCCUACCAAGGCAAAGACGGGUAGCUGGUCUGAGAGGAUGAUCAGCCACACUGGAACUGAGACACGGUCCAGACUCCUACGGGAGGCAGCAGUGGGGAAUCUUGCGCAAUGGCGAAAGCCUGACGCAGCGACGCCGCGUGAGCGAUGAAGGCCU
Molecule: ribosomal RNA, 419 nt
Filed under: uncultured bacterium
Lineage: Bacteria
Description: bacterial SSU rRNA
Rfam family: Bacterial small subunit ribosomal RNA
Source: RNAcentral